AUUGAACGCUGGCGGCAUGCCUUACACAUGCAAGUCGAACGGCAGCGCGGGAGCAAUCCUGGCGGCGAGUGGCGAACGGGUGAGUAAUGCAUCGGAACGUGCCAUUGAGUGGGGGAUAACGUAGCGAAAGUUGCGCUAAUACCGCAUAUUCUGUGAGCAGGAAAGCAGGGGACCGUAAGGCCUGCCACUUUGGGAUGGUCCCGCGUCUGAUUAGCUUGUUGGUGAGGUAACGGCUCACCAAGGCGACGAUCAGUAGCUGGUCUGAGAGGAUGGUCAGCCACACUGGGACUGAGAUACGGCCCAGACUCCUACGGGAGGCAGCAGUCGAGAGGCUUCGGCAAUGGGGGAAACCCUGACCGAGCGACGCCGCGUGAGCGAUGAAGCCCUUCGGGGUGUAAAGCUCUUUUGUGAGGGAGAACUGCAACGGCCUAAUACGCUGUUGUUUGACGGUACCUUACGAAUAAGCUCCGGCUAACUCCGUG
RNAcentral lists this ribosomal RNA (482 nucleotides) under uncultured bacterium. RNAcentral describes it as "bacterial SSU rRNA". It matches the Rfam family "Bacterial small subunit ribosomal RNA", at positions 30 to 507 of the family's 1533-position model. The record is from RNAcentral.